Dama dama (fallow deer) is the source of this 301-nucleotide long non-coding RNA. RefSeq lists it as uncharacterized. NCBI's taxonomy places the organism in Eukaryota, Metazoa, Chordata, Mammalia, Artiodactyla, Cervidae. The record is from RefSeq and is a predicted model, not a curated record. The transcript is spliced from 3 exons.
CUUGCCUGGAGAAUUCCAUGGACAAAGGAGACUGGCAGGCUGCAGUCCACGGGAUCACAAAGAGUCGAACACGACUGAGUGACUAACACUGGGAGAACACUUUGUCGGCUUCCAAUGAAGUGGUUGCUAUCUCCUGCUAGAAGAGAAACCCUGAUAAAGAUGGAGGCCCAAGCUUUCUUCCUCCUCUCUCCUGCCUGUGAUCACCUGGGUGAUCUUCCAUGUGGCCCUGCUCUGCCUCCUCCCAAGACCUGUGAGUGUAAGGACUUUGUCUUUCUGAAUCUCUUCUCUGUCCUGCUCUUAC